AAUAGAAUAGAAUAGAAUAGAAUAGAAUAGAAUAGAAUAGAAUAGAAUAGAAUAGAAUAGAAUAGAAUAGAAUAGAAUAGAAUAGAAUAGGAGUAGAAUGAUCCUGUUUGACCAGAAAAAUUAUCUGUUACUUCACUUCUAGGUUUCUUCAGUUUCUAGGUACCACACAAAGUGAAUUUCCAUUCUUAACCAAGCAGGCAUAGGUGUGCACCAACACAAUGAAACACCAGCUAAACAGGAAUAGUAAAUUAUUAAAAGUAUAUUUCUUCAAAAUAUUUGACUAUUGAGAAGAUGUAGUGUGUGGGUGUGAGAAGAUCAUUGGAUUUAACACUUUUUUUUCACUUCAAUGCCAUUGUGAGAAAGGUGAGAUAAGGUGAACUUCUCCAUUGGGGCCCUAUAGGUUUUGGAGAGGAAAAAAUGACUGCUUUGAGUGUGUCCCUGUGUUAUCUGGCUCUGCUACGUCUUGGGUCAACAGCUGGAAAAAAGCUUUAAAGAUCCGUAGAAGACAGCAGUGUUGGAUAAAAUGUUAAGAGCAUCCUUUCCUUUUGUGACUAGAUGUUCUUCUCCUGUCAGAAUUUAACUUAUGUAUUUUAGGAAUUGCAGGGUAAGAUAUAUGUGAUUUUGUACAUCUGGACAAUGUGUUUAAUACAGAGAAUGCUAAGCUUUUGUCCACAUAGUGUGAAAAUAAAAUGUACACUGUGGUUCAUAGGAAUCAGACUUACUGGUAGCAGGCUUUCAGAGCACAGAAAAUGUUCUGCUGCAGCACAGCUUGAGGUUCUGCUUUGAGACACCAUGGAUAAUUCUGCUUUUGGUUGGCCUGGCUUUUCUACCUUUGCAACAUCAAAUCUUUGCAAAUGGGCAGUGAAAUCAUAACUUGAAAACUUAGUAUGUUGUGCUGUCUUGUUUGUUAAGUUUUUUAUCAUUGUGUCUGCAAAUUUUUAUUUAUUGGAAGGAAAAUCAGACUACAUAGUACUUUGUCCUCAUAAUAACGAUGCCCUCAUCUAAUUCUAGGUAGUCAAGUAUUUUCUCAUAUGAAGGUAAAUAACCACUCUUUUAUGCUUAAUAUUCUUGUAAUAAAAUGUGUCAAUUUUAUUUAAAAUUAAAGAGAAGGACAAAGAAAUCCUAAUGUGUGUGCAUUUUUUUAAGAAUAAAAAGUAUGCAAUGCUGAAUGGCUUUAACCAGUCCACAGCUGUACUAAAUAAUCAGUCUAAAGACAGUAUAUCCUGGGAUGGUCUAACUCAAGGUAAAUGUUAAGGAUUUUAUUUAUUUAUUUAUUUAUUCUAAUUUUCUCAAGUUUAAAGAAUUUCUGCUCUGUGCAUAAGUGAAAGGAAGAGGAUGACUCCUGGUUUCUUCACAGAAACAGUCUACUGAAGUUAUCUGGACUACUUGACUACUUAAAACCAUUAUCUGGACUCAUACCAGAGCAUUACAGAAUUAUCGUGUUGGAGACUUCUCUGUAUUCCUGUGUGGAGAUCAGAUCCAAAACUGGCUAGAUUGCGUCUCAGGAAGUGAAACACUCUGGAUCGAUGCCCUCCAUGCCAGAGCACAGCACACUGUGCUUUUAGAGUGAUGCUGAAAGGCAACCUCAAACUGAGGAUAGCUUGCACCUGCUUCUGUCAGGCAGAAGAUAUUGAACCAGUUCUGAACUGAGGGAAGAUUUAAAUUCUAAGAUUUGAACCAGAUUUCUAGUUUCCCAUUUUUUUAAAAAAAGGGGGAACUAGGUUUCUCAGGUUUCCUAUAAAAAAAAAGUGACUGAGGCUGAGCACUACAAAUACCUACUUUUUUUACUUGCAUCUAAUAAGCACCCACAAGAUAAGUUUCCACAAGAUCCUUGUCUUGUGAAUCACAAGAUACUUGUCUGUGUGCAUCAAGUAUAUUGUAGAUUUGCAUAUUGGAUUGGCCCUUCAUGUGGCUUGUGUGUUCCUCUACUUAAGUUUUGUAACCUGGAAAGGCUGAAAGAGGAAUUAAUUUAGCUGUGAAUGGUAGAUGCUGAUGGGCGCAGAAGCUCUUGGAACACUAAGCUUAAAGAUUUGCCUUCAGGGUUAGCUGUGUCCUGAACAGAGCUCCUUGGAAAUGUAUGCAUCAAGUUGUCCCGUGUCUUAUUUUAGAAGCUUGUAAUCCUCUACUAGUUGUUUUAUAAUUUUCAGGGAAAUCAAUAUGUUAAAUUAAAUCAAUGUUAUUGAAUUUAAAUGCCAGUGAAAGUCUUCUGUCACUUAUAUUCAGACUAAGCCAAACUCAGUCUGCUUAAUGACAAGGUGAAACCUAUUUUGAUCCUCUUCCAUCUGCAUCCUCAUUUUAAUGGAAUAUUUGUGAUACCUUUCUAUGAAGUAAAGUGCCAGAGGGAAACUGUGUAUUAAUAUGUAAUUGAUAACUGUCUUUAGUUAUGACAGAACUUGAUGUUAUUCAAGGAUCCAGAGGGUGUUUAAACAUAAGAUACAUAAAAUGGUAGGUAAUGUGAAAGUUUACAAUAAAUCCUGGUGCUGAAGAAUGACUUGUAGGUGCCCAAAGAUUUCUUUGGGCCUACCCUUUAUUUUCUAGUUAAGCGAAACUGCUGAAGUUGGAUGAGUUUGGACUGCAUUCUGACUGAGAAGCAGCUAGAAAAGUUCUUCGGGGUGCCUGAAAGUGUGUAGGGAAAAACACUGAAGCUGCCUCAGUCAAUAGAUUUUGCUUUUAGGAGAUUUGCUUCCCAUCCUUCUCUAAGGGGCAAGGCUGGAGCUCACUGUAUGUCAGCUGGUAGUUAGCACAUGAAGCUAUCUCUGAUGUUACCGCAAGUAAGGAUCUUGAGAUCAGCUGAUAAAUUUGAAUUAUUGUGUCCUUCCAUUUCUUUCUCUUCCAUUUCUUCUCUUAUGCGACCCUUAAUUCAAAACAAUGGAGACUUCACUUGCUUCCAGCUGGUUUCUUCAGCAAUGCUGCUGGGGGGGCUUUGACUGGGUGUAAGUCUUGAUCCUUCCCAUAGCCAAAGUGCCUUUAUUGGCUUCUAUUGUAUGAUUAUUUAAACAAUGUCAGUAUGGAAAUUGUUCCUUGGCAAAGAGUAUGCAAGAAGGGAUUUCAGAUUGAAGUCUGCCUGUUUUGUGUUAUGUAUGCAGAGAGACUUGUAUAGAGCCCACUCUUUUUUAAAAUGAAUGAACACUCACUUUACUACUAUUUCUUCUCGAGUCUGUCCAAUCUUUUUGAAAAAAAAAAAAAAAUUAGCAUGGUGGUAUUUUCAAAAGAUUGUUUCUGUGGCAUAUAAUCAGUAAUUUUCACAAUUUCAGAGUAUAUAUAUCCACAUUUUGUUUUAGCGAAGGUUUAAUUUGUAUAUAUCUCAACUGAGAAAAUAGGAAACCAAAAGAAAAGUUUAGUGUGCUGGGUAAAGUUGUUCUUGCAGUGCCUGUUUGCAAUUAAUCUGUGAUAAUUCACUCUCCAAAUGAAAUUAUUUCUCUAAUAAUGCAACCAAACUGAGUUCAAUGUUUACUUGGAGCUGACCUUAAAUUGCCUGAAUCAUCUAAUUUUAAGACUCCUAGUUGUAUUGAAAGAAAUAUUCAGAAAGAAUAAGCACUUGGAUUUAUAAUACUUUUCAAAGAUUGUGUUAUUGUUUAUUAAAAUAUUUUUGUGUUAGAAUUGAAGAUUCAGUCUAGCAAUGUACAGUAAUUGCUGCUGACUGAAAAAUUGCAGUCUGUGUCUGAGGGAGAGACAGUUUUGUAGUUGUUGAAUUUCCAGAGCAGAAAUCCUACUAAGCUGUUCACAGAAUACACAGGGCUUUCCUUCAUUUUUUAGAUAUUUUAAUUGGCUGGAGACUCACUUUUAUACUUCCACGGACUUGUACAUUGUUUGAUGUUGAAGAGGCAGAUCAAUAAUACCACAGUAAUUACGUUAUUAACAUAGAUAAUUGAUUCAUGUUUUUUAGGUAAUGAAGACAUCUAAUAACCUAGAUAAAAGCAGUUAAUAAAACCAUAGUGUAGUCUGGAUUUAAGAGGGGAUCAAGCACUAAUUGAGUGAACUCAGUUUGCAGUAAUCAAAUGUCUACCAUUAUUUCUUAAACAAGUUUUUAACCUUUGAAAAUUUUAAUUUAGUGGUUUUCUAUCUUGUGCUGCUAUUAGUAUGAGGAGACCUUAAAAGAAAGUUUAUUUUUACAGGAAUGUAUACAAUUUUUCUAUGUGCUACCAUAGACCAUAGAAGCCCAGGGAGUAGGUUAUUAAGCCAAGAUACUUUAUCACUGACUCCAAGUUUUAUAAAGUUGUUUUUCAGUGUGUUUAUGUGAAAACAUAGUUGGAGUGACUAAAAGUGACAUAUCAUUUGUUUGGCAUUAGAUAUUCUAGUUUAUUGUAAUAAAAUUUCGUGUAAUUGUGCAUGAGAAGAAUGAAUAAAUGGGCAUUUAGAAGGUUUAUAGGUAAGUUUUUAGAAGGUUACAUUUCCGGCUUAUUUUUUAUACAGUGGAAUUUUUGAUGCUACAGUAAAUUAAGAAGCUGGAUGCUUUUCCUAUGAUAUCCUAUUUCACUAAUACAGAAUAACCUUGAGCCACAGUAGGGCAAUAAUUACCAAACUUAAAUCAGAGACACACUCAGCCAAACAGCUGUUUUCAGUUUGUUAGGAGAUCCAUUUGAUUUACUCUCUUGGUCAACGUUCAUUACUUUAUAAGACAAAAUUUCACUGGAGAUUUUAACCCUGAAUUCCCAAUUUUGUUUGUUGCCUGUUGUAAAAUUGCAUGGUUUAAAUGUCAUGGCCACUCAACAUGUGGGGGAGCUACUGUUGUGUUUUCCAUUGAUCCCAGUUUUCUUGACAAGUGGUUUCAAAUACUGAAGGGUGCAGGUAGAAUUGCACCCCAGACAUAUUUCCAGAUGACCUUUCUGUUCUGAGGGAAAAGAGGGGGAAAGGUAUUGAAUAAGGCCACUGUCCUGCACUUUGGUGGUUUGUCAGCUAACAUGGUGGAUCACAUAAUUGUGAAUAUUUGGCAGACAAAUUGUUUGUUACACAAAUUGUCACUGGUUUAAUUUAUUUUACAAGGUCAGCACAUCUCUGCUAUCUCACCCUGAAGAGAUGUAUUUCCCAGGUUUUGCUGCUGUGUGGUUUGAAACCUAAUGCUGGCCCCUAUCUAGCAGUGAACUCUACUGGUCUUAACCAUGUCUCCAUUUCAACAACUGUUGUUGUGUUUUAGUAUAACAGCAACAUCAGUGAUAAUAUGGUGAUUGUCACAAGCUAUUUUAAUGGCAUUAGAGGUUACUUCAAGGAGAAUUCAGGCAUGAAAUGUUGGGGGUUUUUUUCCAUAUUGCAGAAGUUUUCUUACAGUUAUUCUAGUAUUGCUGGCUCUCUGGAUAUUUUUUGUUUCUGUUACAUGUGAUGAACAUGUUUGUAAAUUUUGAAAAAUGACUGAAUUUGUACAUGAAAAUGAAAUAACUGAUAAAAUAAAGAAAUUUCUGAUAAAUUUAUUUGCAGCAUCA
Molecule: long non-coding RNA, 5417 nt
Organism: Parus major (Great Tit)
Lineage: Eukaryota; Metazoa; Chordata; Aves; Passeriformes; Paridae
Exons: 3
Source: RefSeq, a predicted model, not a curated record